Molecule: long non-coding RNA, 484 nt
Organism: Teleopsis dalmanni
Lineage: Eukaryota; Metazoa; Arthropoda; Insecta; Diptera; Diopsidae
Exons: 2
Source: RefSeq, a predicted model, not a curated record
CUUUAGAUAUAUUUUUGGUUCAAUAUUGCUCUAAAUUUCGGAACAAAUUUAAUGAAAACGGUGUUUUUGGUUCAAAAUCUGCAGUUAUGGACUCCGAAACAGAUGUCCCAAAAAUUGUAUUUUUCUUCAGCAAAUCUUUCGAUGAAGACUCGCGUGUAUUAAGCGUAUUUCAGUGUAGGGAAACUCCUCACCAUAUCUGUACCAUAACUUGUAGUCAAGAAGUAGCAUUAAGUUUUCAAUUCCGUCAGUUAUACACUAACAUGAUGACAAUGGUUUACAACAAAAUUCUACCCUUAGAGAUCAUUAUGAAGUUGGUUAAACUUGGUACUCAUUCAAAGUUUUAAAUCUCGUGUAACCGAUAUUGGUUGAAAGAGUGUAAUAACUGAAGAACUGUCUGACAUGAUGCCAAUUUAUUUUUAUAUUAAAAACCUCAAAUGCUGUUUAUUAUGAUUUCUAAAUUAAUAAAUGUCUUAAAAGCAGUCAA